UCAUGGCCUUUAGUCUACCGGGGCUACACACGUACUACAAUGGUGGGUACAAAGGGCAGCGAAACCGCGAGGUCGAGCGAAUCUCAAAAAACCCAUCAUAGUCCGGAUUGCAGUCUGCAACUCGACUGCAUGAAGUUGGAAUCGCUAGUAAUCCCGGAUCAGCAUGCCGGGGUGAAUACGUUCCCGGGCCUU
Molecule: ribosomal RNA, 192 nt
Filed under: uncultured Desulfomicrobium sp.
Lineage: Bacteria; Pseudomonadati; Thermodesulfobacteriota; Desulfovibrionia; Desulfovibrionales; Desulfomicrobiaceae
Description: partial 16S ribosomal RNA
Rfam family: Bacterial small subunit ribosomal RNA
Source: RNAcentral